ACAUAUUUUAUUUUAUAAAUACGACAGACUAGUUAGUUAGAUACAGCAAGUAUUUAAUACUUACGCAGUGAUUCACGUAUAACAAUUCACAUUACUGAACAAGGUAAAGUUUUAAGCUGUCAUUCAGCGUUGGUCAUUUCAGCGUGCUUGUGCCUUUAAGCAGAGCUUCAUUCACCCCAGUCCGCCUUAAAGCGCCAAGCAUGUGUCUGUGAGGGCCUCCCCCUGAUCGCUCUGCAAAAGACUGACUGACUGAGCUCUUAAGGUGGACCGGGCGAGAUAUGCUGUACAUCUAUUAAUUGUGCAACUGUUAUGAGAUCAUAAAGAGUUAAUUCCCACGGUCUGUCGCUUAACCUCAAAAUGACCCGGUCUUGUAAUUUGGAUAAAUGUAACAUUAUUUACGAGCUAUUUAUUAUUUUACAUAAUUAAACUUAACACGAUCAACUGUUUUAACAAUUGAACAUGUUUACUGUAGUCCAAUAUAAAAACCAGAUAAAACCUUUUAAACAAAACUAUGUACAACAAAAUUAAAUGCAUUUUUACUAGCAUCAACUUAACAAACCUUAGAAUUAUGGGCUUUUAAAUGCAUUUCUUUUUUACAUCAACACACGUUUUUUUGUGAACAAAACAGAUCGGUAUGCCACAAUGCUAAUGGUCUUACUUAAAUCACUUAUAUUCAGGGGCAUAGCCAGAACUUUUUUUAGAGGUGGUCAGGUAAGACCCAGUGGUUUUAUUAGGGUGACCAAAAAAUCCUUACAGACGGAAAUUCUUUAACUUCUACUGUAAUUUACACCAAUUCUUCAUUACACAUAGUUUGCUGGUCAAAAACAUACACAAAGAACGUAAAGUAAACAAUUUAUUUGCAAUGCUUUCAUGUGCUAACAUUUUUUAAAAAUAAUUUGCUAGCUAUCAUUUGCAGUAAGUUAGCAUUUUUUAUAGAAAAUAAACAUUGCAGUACCCCAACUUAAACUUUCGUGAAAAUGUAAUUAAUGAAUGAAAUCCAGUUCAACAAGACUGAUUUUACUGACUUGGGGCCUCUUGUAUCAACGUUGCGUACGCCAGCUUUCACGCUCAGGGUCGGAUGUACUAACAGUGAAAUUAAUGAGAAUGUGCGUUCCUCCACGCCAACUUCAUGUCUGGCGUGAGUUUUUUUGUGCGUACGCACAUUUACAGCUUUGUCCGUACGCAAUGUUUUAGUAUGGAAUCAACGCAAGUCUUUGUACAUGAGACCCCUGAUCCUUCUGCUCGCGAUGGACUUCCAUGGUACACAGACAGUACCUGUCACAAAGCGGUAGCAGUUGUUCAGCUAUAGCGCUCAGACUGUUUGUGUCAGUGCGUCAGCGUAUGACAUCAUAUUAACGCGAGAGUAAUGUUCUCGCGUUACUUUCAGUGCAUACGCUCAAUGAUCUGCGCAGCACUCCGUAAACUCCGACACACAUCUUAAAACUGCUUCGCACAACAGAGGUGGCCAGAUAGGUGGCCAUCCUUCAUUCAGGGGUAGCCGUGUAGCUACGCCCCUUCUUAUAUUAAAGGGAUUACCUUUAACAUCUGUGAUUCCAGAAAACAACAGUAAUUUGCCUAGACCUGUUGAAAACUAAAAAUCUCUUGGGUCUUUGUAACCUAUAUUGUUUGGACUGAGGUUCAGGGCUUAGGACAGUCGUGCGUUAGUGCAGAGUAGGACAUCAACCAGAUGGCAGAAAGAUUACAAAGCAACCUCAGGUGGACUGCAUUCUAAGCAUCAGCUUGGAGAGGCAGUAGUUUUAGGGAAGGUUACAAUCAUUGAUCACGGACACACCAGUGAUAAACCGAAAAUGAAUCACAUUUGAGAAACACUAAUGAACUGCAAUUUUCGAUUUCUGACCUGAGAAACAGGUAAGUGUUAUUCUGUUAUAUUUUAUUACUGUGAUGAGCCUUGUAUUGACUACAUUUUACUCAUUGUUAUGCUGCAUGCCAUGUCUGUUUUUGCAAUAAUCAUACACAUCUCCAAAUCUUUGCAUAUAAGUUUCCUCACCUUAAAGGAAUAGUUCAUCAUCUAUUCACCCUGUUUAAAUGUCAAGGUCCCCAAUGACCCCAAUAUGGACACAAAACCAAUGCAAGGCAAUGGGGACCAACGGAUUUCUGUUAUCAACAAUUUUUAAAUAUCCUCUUUUGUGUUCUGAAAAAGAAAGAAAGUCACACAGGUUUGAAAUCACAAGAGGGCAUUUAAAUAAUGACAUCAUUUUAAUUUUGAAGGUGAACUAUAUCCCUUUGAACACUUUUCAAAUUAUUGUUUUACCUAUUAGCAUUUUUUUUAUCAGUUCAGAUGCUGUUUAAGAAAUACAAUACAUUAUAAUAGGGGUAAGUAAAGUUAAACCAGUUGAUUACAGAUAUCUUAUUAGAUAUUUACAUUUACAUUUAGUCAUUUAGCAGACGCUUUUAUCCAAAACGACUUACAGAUGAUGGAAACAAUGGAAGCAAUUGGAACAACAUAAGGACGACACAAAGCAUAAGUGCAAUAAAAAAACUGGUCUCAUAUAGUAUACAGAGCUAAGUUUUUUUUUUUUUGAAAGACUAGAAAAGAGAUAUAAGUCAGAACUGAUCGGUCAGGAAGAGAUGUGUUUUCAGACGAUUCUUAAAGAUGGCUACAGAAUUUGCUGAUCUUGUAGCAGCGGGCAGAUCAUUCCAUAAAUGUGGAACCGAUUCAGAGAAGGUACGUGAGAGAGAUUUUUUUACCUUUUUGGGAUGGCACCACAUGGUCGUUCGUUUGGAGAGCGUAGGGAUCUGGCAGGUACAUCAGAAGAUAUAAAAUAGCUAUUACUAUGAUAGUUCUUAUAGUAGAUUUAUGAUAUACUAACUGCAUAAAAUCUUCACUGCUUCUUCAGUAAAGAUAUAAUUACAGUUUUUCAGGUUAGCCUUGCUUUCCGCUACCUACAUACUGCAUAUCUAGCAUGUUUUUCUGAUUUUAACUGGGUUAACAAUUUCACUUGAAAAACAUGGUUUUAAUAGUAGUUUUAAUAAUCUAUAUAUAUUCUGUUUUGUCAAGGGGCAGGUCCUGGCACCUUUUGUCUCAACACAGCCUGUGGAAAUGAUCAGAACAUGAUGGCUUGGCUCCUCACUCCAAUAUUAGGAUGGCCUCUUGUGCAACCUGCUACCACACAUAGCUCAAUCUCAACACAAUCCUUGGACCAAAACGACCUAAACUCCCAAGGAAUUAAUCAUUUUCAGCAAACUCAUUCCAUAUCUCGUCCCUCAAGCUGGAUUGACGAAAGAGUUGACAAUAGGUUAUACAGAGACUUGCUUUUGCCCAUUUGGCCCAACUUUGCCAUUAAUGGGGAUCAGGGGAAGGUAGUGGACUUCAGUGGCGUAUUGAGGUUAUGAUGCCCUCUAGCGGACUGUUAGAGAUGGACACGUUCAUUUCAGACAGAGCAGAGAAACUAGACUUUGAGGACCCUCCCGUUCCACAAAGGCAAACACAAUAUAUUGUAAGCGAUGACGAUGAUCGAGAUGUCAUUUUAGCAAAGACAAACACUGACCUUUAUCAAGCCACGUCCACAAUGCCUGUUCAGUUGACUACACACACACACCACAUUUACAAAUAACAAUGAGAGAAUGAACAAAGACCAGCUUUUGUUGACAACCAGCAAACCAAUCACACAGAACAAGACUACUGUAAACUCUUCUCCGGUCAAUAUGCAUGUACAUAGUUUUAUAACUAAUGACAAACUCGAUCACAGUACAUCACUGAAUGAGUUACAGAUGAACAACAAUGAAGAUGUUAAGACUUUUAAAGAAACAAGGUUUACUUCAUCCACACAGCUUUUACGCUCCAUCACAAAGCCUGAAAUGUUGGGAAACAAAGACACCCUUAUGGUGCAAUCCGAGUCCUUUGAUAAUCUCACAGUGAAAGAGGAACGGUAUGUUACAAACCACGCUCCUACAUCAACACCACCAUUAGAGACUGGUUGGUAUAAACAAUUGGUGAUUUUUGCAUAACUAUUAGUUAUUUACAAUUAGUUGUGGAAACGACGGGACUCUAGUUGGGGACAAAAAUCCCUCUAUACUAAUGUAUGACAUAUGCCUAAGGUUUGGAGGCUAUUAAACGGAUAAAAGUUGUAAAUCAUCUAUGCUUUGAAGUAUAACUUGAAAUUUAUUGCUUGGACUCCCUCCGAGUCCCUUCUAUUUCGAGCCCUAAUUAUAAUACAUACAAAAUAAUGAUUAUCUUUCUAUUUCAGGUCAGUGGAGAGGUGAAGAGACUACCUCUGAAUUACAAAUCCCCACAGAAUUACCAUUAACAAAUCUGUCUGUAAUACAGGCAAAUACAAGUACGGAUAAAACUGAAGAGCAAGGUAGUCAUAUACUAUGAAAAACCAAAAUGGUUUGGAGGUUUGUUUGGACCAUUAACAGACUUGUCUGGUACAAUAGCGUCAUGUAUGCCAGGUCCAUGUGUGGUUUCCACCAACAGCAACAUCACUCGUCUACAGUGGGAGGAUCUGAAAUGGACACUAACCUUUGCGUGGGACCGUCAUGUCUAUGGAUCAGCUAUACUCUUCUCAUUGGUUGUAAUUGUUGCUACUCUUGGCGUCAUUGGUGGAACUCAUAUGCACCAUCCUUGGACUUUCAUUCUUGUGAAUAUCCUGCUUCUAUUGGCAGGUUUGCUUCGAUUAGUACUGUUCAUUAUAGACCCGUACGGUACAAGAAAAAUAAUGCCUGACCCCCCUAACUAUAUUCUAUAACUUACCCAUUACCUUACUGCUCUGGGCCCAAGCCACCCUGGCACUGACAAGAGAGACUGAGCCUUCAAAUCUCCUCUCAACAUCUCAUUGAUUGGCGGCCAUGCACUGUACCUCCGUCCUGAUGGCUGACCUGCUAUCAAAUAACUUGUCUCCAGCACUACCAUCAAUGCUCCAGACACUUGUACUAUUUGCUGGGGUUUACCACUUUGUUUAGGAAUCUUUUUCCAGUCUCUAAAGCAGCACCAUCCUUCACACAGGACACCGUUACCAAGGUAGAGCGCCUCCAAGCGCAUAGUAAACAACGUCAGACGUGUGCUUUUGUUGUGUGGCCUACUGGGGGUGCUCUCUUGUGCAUUACACAUCUAUCUACUGGCAAAGGUUUGGGUGGGGCUGGUGGGUGAUCCAACUCUGUGCACGACUGUUGGAAUUGGCAUGGAGUUUUUCUCUUCUGCUGCUGGGAUCUCGGGUAUUCUGGAGGCCACGAUGAGAGCAGAGCAAAGAAAGGGGACUACUAGAAGAGCACAGAAAGGACAAGAGAUGUCAUAUCAUAUGUAAUGAUGUGAUACGGAAAGGCAUCUCCCUUUGCUAUACUUUGACCGUGAAGUGAUUCUUUCCUGCCCUUUGACACUGCCAACAGUUGCCUCCACCGUACCUUCUGCUGACCCUCAAGUACCCCUAACUUUUUACCCUUUCCCAUGGUGGUAUUAUCCAUCUCCUCCUACCCUUGCGCCUGGACCCAAAGUAUGACUCUUGUGGCAUAUUUUUCUACUAUUGCAGUAAAUGGAUGAGAUGGGGGGGAUGACAUCUGUUUGGUUACUGACACUCUUCCAAAUAUCUUUUGUGUUCAGCAGAAAAUGUUACAAGACCAUUGUCAAACAAGUACAACACUCAGGUUGACGUUAUAAAACUUGUCAGAUUUAUUGGUGGCACUGAACAAAUGAAUACUACACACAAGGACACCUCAAAUACAUGAAAAAAAAUACACAUGAAAAGGAAUACAAGAAAAUUGUACAGCACUCAAUUAUAACACAAUUGAGAGUCACAUUGGACAUGCAUCUAAAAGCUCAUCUCUACCUAUGUUUUACCUCGCGCCCUCGCGCCCAUUCUCCCAAACCGUGGGAGAAAACAAGUUACAAACAAAAAGAAACUAGUCAGUCCUCAAGGCCUUACCAUCGGGCCUAAUUACUCACUCACCAGGCGGACAAGAAAAUUAACCAAAACCAAACAAAAAUACCAAAUAAUAAAUGAAUAACAAGAAAAUAGGCCCCUGUCGAGCCAACCUAAGCUCUGCAGUGCUGUCUCAAAGAUCCAAACAGACCCACACGUAAACAACUUUGCAAAUAACAAUGAGCAGGACAAUCAACUUCAGAUUCUCGUAUACAUGUCCAUUUAUUUCAGACACCACAGAGCGGUUUCAAUUAUCAGACAUGCAAAUCUGUUGCAUAACCCCAAUACAGUUCAUGCACCGAUCUAUUUCAGGCACCAGAGAGCUGCUCCAAACAUCCAACACUCACAUGCGAAUCCUUCGCGUGCCCAGAAUGUGUGUCAACUUAUUUCUGCCGGCCAGAAACCAACACACCUAACAACAGCUUCCUACCUAGAACAUUUAUACUGUUGACCACACCAACUUCAUUCAUAACUAUAAUAUGUACUGUACAUGUUUGCAACAACCUGGGGUGAACUAUCCCUUUAACUGGUUCAUGUGAGUAACGUUUAUUUGUUUACUGAAAACACAAACACCUGUAUGUUUUGACAACUUGGUAUUUUAAAGUUCUGUUUUGAGUCUCUGACAUUCUAUGUCUCCGUCAAAUUUUGCCACGCGCAGUAUGACCACAGUAUGACAACACGUAUGCUCCAUCAUUGGGCUUUCAUUCUUUGCAAUAUCCUGCUGCUGUUGGCAGGAUUGCUUCGAUUAGUGCUGUUCAUUAUAGACCAGUAUGGUACCUUCAAACCUCCCCUCAAAACUCUCUCAUUGACUGGCGGUUUGGCAGCCAUGCGCUGAACCUCCAUCCUGAUGCCUGACCUGCUAUCACCAUUAAUGCUCCAGACACUUACUGUUUGCAGAACUGUUUGCUGUCCUACAUUCUUCAAAAAUGUCAUCUUUUGUGUUCAACACAAGAAUAAAAAAUUAUAAAGUAAUUUUUCCUACUAUGUGAGUCAAUGGGGG
Molecule: long non-coding RNA, 6876 nt
Organism: Triplophysa rosa
Lineage: Eukaryota; Metazoa; Chordata; Actinopteri; Cypriniformes; Nemacheilidae
Exons: 3
Source: RefSeq, a predicted model, not a curated record